This 77-nucleotide transfer RNA is filed under the name Alkalicoccus daliensis. RNAcentral describes it as "Bacillus daliensis tRNA_Arg_CCT". It matches the Rfam family "tRNA". From Rfam's summary of the family: Transfer RNA (tRNA) molecules are approximately 80 nucleotides in length. Their secondary structure includes four short double-helical elements and three loops (D, anti-codon, and T loops). Lineage: Bacteria; Bacillati; Bacillota; Bacilli; Caryophanales; Bacillaceae. The record is from RNAcentral.
GACCCUGUAGCUCAGCAGGAUAGAGCAGCCGCCUCCUAAGCGGCAGGUCGAAGGUUCGAAUCCUUUCAGGGUCGCCA